CUUUGACAGCCCAGUGUACUGUCGUGAUUGCAUUCAUUUCAAUGGCUUUCUUCAAAAUAUUCUCUUUUUCGGAAAAGUUGUGGGAUUUAAUCACGAAGGCGCGUGACGGUUCCUUGUCGUCCACUGGUUUGUUGCAUAGAGAUUGAUUUGAGCGGGUAGACCUUUCCUCAAGAUCUUGGCUUUGGUCUCAGCAGAGCCAGCUUCUUUUUUCACGAUACUAAACUCUUUUUCCAGGGUAGUAAGAGAGUCGGAGUAUCCACCCAACACAGGCUCCAGACCAGUCACUCGCUCUUUCGCUGCUUCCACUCUGGCGUUAACCACUCUUCCAGUUCCUUUCUUGCUUUUUUCAAGAUGGAGAACCAAACUUUACAAGUUAAACUCCGCAGACACGGAGGAGCUGCAAAAUCUCCGUUUGCUCCAGAGGCCUACUCAUCCUCCGACCCCCACCUCAACACCUCGCCCACAAUGGAGGCAAGAGAAAGCAGAAGAGGGGCAAGCGUGGGGGGAUCUGAACUAGGCUAGCGGCUAACCCACAC
This 536-nucleotide long non-coding RNA is filed under the name Danio rerio (zebrafish). RNAcentral's name for it is "lncRNA si:dkey-179k24.7p (ENSDARG00000099055.2)". Lineage: Eukaryota; Metazoa; Chordata; Actinopteri; Cypriniformes; Danionidae. The record is from RNAcentral.